GAUGAACGCUGGCGGCGUGCCUAAUACAUGCAAGUCGAGCGAACGGACGAGAAGCUUGCUUUUCUGAUGUUAGCGGCGGACGGGUGAGUAACACGUGGAUAACCUACCUAUAAGACUGGGAUAACUUCGGGAAACCGGAGCUAAUACCGGAUAAUAUUUUGAACCGCAUGGUUCAAAAGUGAAAGACGGUCUUGCUGUCACUUAUAGAUGGAUCCGCGCUGCAUUAGCUAGUUGGUAAGGUAACGGCUUACCAAGGCAACGAUGCAUAGCCGACCCGAGAGGGUGAUCGGCCACACUGGAACUGAGACACGGUCCAGACUCCUACGGGAGGCAGCAGUAGGGAAUCUUCCGCAAAGGGCGAAAGCCUGACGGAGCAACGCCGCGUGAGUGAUGAAGGUCUUCGGAUCGUAAAACUCUGUUAUUAGGGAAGAACAUAUGUGUAAGUAACUGUGCACAUCUUGACGGUACCUAAUCAGAAAGCCACGGCUAACUACGUG
Molecule: ribosomal RNA, 497 nt
Filed under: uncultured bacterium
Lineage: Bacteria
Description: partial 16S ribosomal RNA
Rfam family: Bacterial small subunit ribosomal RNA
Source: RNAcentral